GAUGAACGCUGGCGGCGUGCCUAAUACAUGCAAGUCGAGCGAACAGACGAGGAGCUUGCUCCUCUGACGUUAGCGGCGGACGGGUGAGUAACACGUGGAUAACCUACCUAUAAGACUGGGAUAACUUCGGGAAACCGGAGCUAAUACCGGAUAAUAUAUUGAACCGCAUGGUUCAAUAGUGAAAGACGGUUUUGCUGUCACUUAUAGAUGGAUCCGCGCCGCAUUAGCUAGUUGGUAAGGUAACGGCUUACCAAGGCGACGAUGCGUAGCCGACCUGAGAGGGUGAUCGGCCACACUGGAACUGAGACACGGUCCAGACUCCUACGGGAGGCAGCAGUAGGGAAUCUUCCGCAAUGGGCGCAAGCCUGACGGAGCAACGCCGCGUGAGUGAUGAAGGUCUUCGGAUCGUAAAACUCUGUUAUUAGGGAAGAACAAAUGUGUAAGUAACUAUGCACGUCUUGACGGUACCUAAUCAGAAAGCCACGGCUAACUACGUG
This 497-nucleotide ribosomal RNA is filed under the name uncultured bacterium. RNAcentral's name for it is "partial 16S ribosomal RNA". It matches the Rfam family "Bacterial small subunit ribosomal RNA", at positions 28 to 507 of the family's 1533-position model. The record is from RNAcentral.